This 3321-nucleotide long non-coding RNA is filed under the name Equus caballus (horse). Its description in RNAcentral is "lncRNA (ENSECAG00000051962.1)". Lineage: Eukaryota; Metazoa; Chordata; Mammalia; Perissodactyla; Equidae. The record is from RNAcentral.
CGGGUGUUCGCAUGUUGAGUUUAUUCAGAGCACAAGACGUCUCUCCUUGCGUGCCAGCCGUCCACACAGGGACUCAGAGGAGAGGGGACGUCCGCGGCCGGCUGCACUUAGGAGCCCCCGUACUUCGCCGAAGCAGAGCCAGUGCCCCUCCCAGGCCCUUCCCGUCAGGCCCGCUGGUCACCACCUGUGGUCUGUCUUCGCCGGAGCUGCUGGGUCCUCCUCUCCACGUUUGUGUGAACUCUGGGUCCUGCUGACUGAAAGUGAGUUCUGUUUGUCGGCAGCCUUGUGGCUUUUGGACUUAACAGACUUGAAAUUAGUUCACGACGGUCCAGACACACAUCGCAGCUCGGAAACCACACGGGAGCCGUGCUGGGGAGGCAGCAGCCAGACUGAAAUUUACAGCAGUGACCUGGGCCUCGUCAGGCCCCUGUGACAGGGUGUCGAGUGAAUGGCUGCUUAGUCACCAAUUUGCUUGGCAAGAUGCGGUGGAUUAGGAAAUACAUAAAAGGUCAGACAGUAGGAGUUUGUCUAGACAUUCUAUUUUGGAUUCUAUGCUCGGUGUGUUUCUGUAGCAACCUUUGCAAACACCACACCGAUAUUUUAGCAAUAUUAUAAAAAGCGUUGUUCUCCGUAAUCAGGUGCAGGCCCGCUAGGUUUGCACACGGACACACCCGGUUCCUUGUUCAACCGCGGUGUCGCCGAUGCCUCAAUUCAGAAGCUGGAGGGAGACCCUCGAGAGGGCCCCUCUCCUCUCCAGGGCCUCUCCCGGCAGCGCCCGGCUCCUGGGAAGGACACACCGCUUGGGAGGAGGCCAGGCCUUCGAGAAGCUUGUCCAAGGCUCAUAGGAGAUACGCCAAGAAGUAAAAGCAGCUUGUUUUUCCUCUGGGCCUGACGGGAAGGCUAUGUGGCAUGAAGGAAGCUGAGCCCCAUUACAGUGCAUACUCUCUGUACCUGGGGGGCGUGUAAGACCUCUGAGCUGCAGCUCCUGUAAACCAGACCCUGGACGUCUGCUGUCGGGCUGUGGCACCCAGGCCAGUGUGAGGCCAUCACAGGGCAGGUGCUCAGGAUCUAGAAGCCUGGGACUCCCCACGGGCUGGGGGUGCACUGGCUGCCUCCUGAGUUUGCUCCCCAACCCAGUCAAUGGCUGCUCACCCCUCCAGGGCCCCCCUUGGCUUCUUGCCGCUAAGACUUAUUCCAAGCAGCCCGAGCAGCUGAGGUGGGUAGGCGAGGCCUCAUCCGAGAACCACCACCCCACGCCACGGUCAGGCCGCACACCUGGGAGGCAGGGACCCUCGGACGGUGGCUGGCUCAGCUGGGAUGAACACCUGUGGAGGAUUCCUGGGAAGAACACCGUUGCAUGUUUCCGCAAGAACCAGAAACCUGGUUUGUGUUUCUCGGUUUGUUUCCCUCUCGCAGGGUAACUGAGCUGUAGAGCUGGGGGCUGGGCCACUUAGAACGGUCCACCCUUUCUGGCCCCCCCGGCCUUCCUCCUGGUCCUAACGCUGGGUUCUGUCCAGGUGCCGAGCCGUCCUCGGCCCUCUCCCUUCUCCCUGUCCGUCCCUGGCAGUGCCCCAUGCGCCCAGGGCUUGGCCACCAUCUGGAAGCAGGUAACCCCUACAUCACGCGUCCAGCUGCUUGCCCGGCGCCUCCUCCGGGAUGUCUCUAAUGCACCCAGGUCCAGCGCGCCCCGUGCCCCUCUUUUCUGCACCGUGCAGCUGCUCCAGCCAGAACCCAGUGGUCAUCGACGCCUGCUCUUCCUCAUCCCACCUCCACCAGAUGGCCAACCGCCUGCUUUGCCAGCACCGCCAAGACACCUCCCGGCCCGUCUGACUUCUGGGCCCCCUGAGGCUCCCAUGAUGUCCCGUACAGAACGUACCCAGGAGGGUGAACGGGCAGCGUGCCCUUGGCGAGCACUGAGUGAGCCUCCUCUUGGCGAGCUCACACGGGCAGUGAGUGAAGUCGGGGCCACGCAGCAGCUGAGCACAGCCCCUCCCAGGCCUCUGGGGCUCAGGGCUCUGACCUCUCCACCGGCCCCGCCCCUCCCUCCUGCUCCCCGGGGCUGGCUCGGCCCUUCGCAGGCACGACCUGAGCUGCCCUGGUUCUUGAGGUUCCUACAGACGCGGCGCCAGGCGGAAGGUCGGGAAGGCCCCUGCCCAGGACGCCAGUCGUGGGAGCUGCACAUCCUGUCAUUGGACGGCCCUGCCUGCGACACGGGAGGAACUGGAAGGAAGGUGUAGUCAAGGUGAGCAUCCUAAGAUGGGCGCACCCUGGAUCAUCUGGAUCGGCACCAACACCAUGACAGAUGUUCUCGUAAGAGAAAGUAAAGCAGAAGAGAGAAAGAGAAGUCCGUGUGAAGAGGGGCAGAGCCGGGGGUGAGGAACACCCGGAAUUGUUGGAGCCGCUGGAUGCUGCCGGGCGAGGGGCCUGGAUCGUACUCUCCUCAGAGCACCAGAAGGACAACCCUGCCCAGCCCUUGAUCUCGGGCUCCCGGCCUCCAGAACCAGGAGACAGUGGAUUCCUGCUGCCUUACGCCGCCCAGUCUGUGAGACCCGCCGUCUCAGACCAGGCGCAUGCUGUGCUGCGACGUCGCGCCCAGCUCCCUCUGUCCUGGCCCCGCUGGCUUGCCGCCACCUUGCUGGUGGCAUGCGUCCCAGGCCUCCCUCUGGAUUUGUGUAGCAUCUCUGAGGACGCCACCUACACAGCUGCCCAGGGUCAUUCUGGGUGUCGCCACACACGUGUGGCUGACGGGCUCCGUGUAACAUGACAUGUGCACACCUCUCUACAUUUAGCUCCCUCGCUUUUCAAGCCAUUGUCUUGAUAUCAAACAGUGUUAUAAUUUUUGUCUCAAUCAUCAAAAAUGACAUAGAAGGAGGACAACCCCAUGGCCAAGUGGUUAAGUUCACGUGCUCUGCUUCGGCGGCCCAGGGUUUCCCCAAUUUGGAUCCUGGGCGAGGACGUGGCACCGCUUGUCAGGCCAUGCUGAGCGGUGUCCCACAUGCCACAACCAGAGGCACUCACAGCUAGAAUAUACAACCGUGUAGUGGGGGCUCUGGGGAGGAGAAGAAGAAGGAAAAAGGAUUGGCAACAGAUGCUGGCUCAGCUGCCAACCUUUAAAAAAAAUUAAAAACAAAUGAUGUACAAGACAGGGGUGGAAUGGACAGCACGUGCCCAUGUUUGUGCUCCUCCCUGACGCUCUAGGAUUCUUUCUGUCAUUCCUUUCUGGCUGAAAAGCUCCCUUUACCCAUUUUUGGAGGGUUGGUCUCUGGUGACAAACUCUUUUAGCCUAGGUUUUCUAGGGUUUUUUUAAAGAUUUUAUUUUUC